This 482-nucleotide ribosomal RNA is filed under the name uncultured bacterium. Its description in RNAcentral is "bacterial SSU rRNA". It matches the Rfam family "Bacterial small subunit ribosomal RNA", at positions 28 to 513 of the family's 1533-position model. The record is from RNAcentral.
GAUGAACGCUAGCGGCAGGCUUAACACAUGCAAGUCGAGGGGUAUAGUUCUUCGGAGCUAGAGACCGGCGCACGGGUGCGUAACGCGUAUGCAAUCUACCUUUUACAGAGGGAUAGCCCAGAGAAAUUUGGAUUAAUACCUCAUAGUAUGUGAGAAUCGCAUGGUUUCACAUUAAAGUUCCAACGGUAAAGAUGAGCAUGCGUCCCAUUAGCUAGAUGGUAAGGUAACGGCUUACCAUGGCUACGAUGGGUAGGGGUCCUGAGAGGGAGAUCCCCCACACUGGUACUGAGACACGGACCAGACUCCUACGGGAGGCAGCAGUGAGGAAUAUUGGACAAUGGGCGCAAGCCUGAUCCAGCCAUGCCGCGUGCAGGAUGACGGUCCUAUGGAUUGUAAACUGCUUUUGUACAGGAAGAAACACUACUUCGUGAAGUAGCUUGACGGUACUGUAAGAAUAAGGAUCGGCUAACUCCGUGCCAGCA